UGGACAAACAUCUGUUAUCUUUUAUCAUCGAGUGCCCCUCAUUCACUCGACAUUCACUGACAAGAUGGACUAACAGUACCAUUUACAGAAGGACAAAAACAGCGGUAAACUUCGCCAAGUCCAUCCUGAGAUGCAGACUACAGCAGGAAUUCACGACGCCAAGUUGUGGAAGGAUCGGGGUGUGCAUGCGAGUUUUUCACGCAAGAAAAAUAAGCAUUGAAUGCAGCAGCAUCGUAGCCUGGGUGCCAUCCGAAUUUGUAACGGCUACGGGCAAAUUCGGAU
Branchiostoma belcheri (Belcher's lancelet) is the source of this 282-nucleotide long non-coding RNA. RefSeq lists it as uncharacterized. Lineage: Eukaryota; Metazoa; Chordata; Leptocardii; Amphioxiformes; Branchiostomatidae. The transcript is spliced from 3 exons. The record is from RefSeq and is a predicted model, not a curated record.